GACGAACGCUGGCGGCGUGCUUAACACAUGCAAGUCGAGCGGGGAGACUUUGCGGCACCGACCGUUGAGGCGGGCGCGGCGCGGAGAUGGGAAGAGGCGAGCUUGAACGGACGCGGGGAACCGCGGAAGGGAGAGGGCCUUGGAACAAAGAAGCGGGGCGCAGGUCACAGGGGUGGGUGCUGUGAAGACUUCCAGCGGCGGACGGGUGAGUAACGCGUGAACAAUCUGUCCCAGACAGGGGGAUAACAGAUGGAAACAUCUGCUAAUACCGCAUAAGACCACGGGAUCGCAUGGUUUCGGGGUAAAAGGAGAAAUCCGGUUUGGGGUGAGUUCGCGUCUGAUUAGCUAGUUGGCGGGGUAAAGGGCCCACCAAGGCGACGAUCAGUAGCCGACCUGAGAGGGUGAUCGGCCACACUGGAACUGAGAAACGGUCCAGACUCCUACGGGAGGCAGCAGUGGGGAAUAUUGGGCAAUGGGCGAAAGCCUGACCCAGCAACGCCGCGUGAAGGAAGAAGGUUUUCGGAUU
This 526-nucleotide ribosomal RNA is filed under the name uncultured bacterium. RNAcentral describes it as "bacterial SSU rRNA". It matches the Rfam family "Bacterial small subunit ribosomal RNA", at positions 28 to 424 of the family's 1533-position model. The record is from RNAcentral.